UUGAAUCAGAUCUCAGUCCUAGGUAGUUCA
Molecule: non-coding RNA, 30 nt
Filed under: Rattus norvegicus (Norway rat)
Lineage: Eukaryota; Metazoa; Chordata; Mammalia; Rodentia; Muridae
Source: RNAcentral